Molecule: ribosomal RNA, 253 nt
Filed under: uncultured bacterium
Lineage: Bacteria
Description: partial 16S ribosomal RNA
Rfam family: Bacterial small subunit ribosomal RNA
Source: RNAcentral
UACGAAGGGGGCAAGCGUUGUCCGGAAUCAUUGGGCGUAAAGAGCGUGUAGGCGGCCCGGUAAGUCCGCCGUGAAAGUCCAGGGCUCAACCCUGGAAUGCCGGUGGAAACUGCCGGGCUGGAGUCCGGAAGAGGCGAGUGGAAUUCCUGGUGUAGCGGUGAAAUGCGCAGAUAUCAGGAGGAACACCAAUGGCGAAGGCAGCUCGCUGGGACGGUACUGACGCUGAGACGCGAAAGCGUGGGGAGCAAACAGG